UACGAAGGGGGCUAGCGUUGUUCGGAAUUACUGGGCGUAAAGCGUGCGCAGGCGGUUCGUUAAGUCAGAUGUGAAAGCCCCGGGCUCAACCUGGGAACUGCAUUUGAAACUGGCGGGCUUGAGUAUGGCAGAGGGGGGUGGAAUUCCGCGUGUAGCAGUGAAAUGCGUAGAGAUGCGGAGGAACACCGAUGGCGAAGGCAGCCCCCUGGGCUAACACUGACGCUCAGGCACGAAAGCGUGGGGAGCAAACAGG
This 253-nucleotide ribosomal RNA is filed under the name uncultured bacterium. Its description in RNAcentral is "partial 16S ribosomal RNA". It matches the Rfam family "Bacterial small subunit ribosomal RNA", at positions 524 to 776 of the family's 1533-position model. The record is from RNAcentral.